CUUUCCAGAACUCGUACAAUUUGAUUCUUUCUCUGAAAUCACAUUAGUACCUGUACUGGUCUUUCAGGCUCUAGCACCCAGGCAGAGCGAUGGAGGCACACUCAGUGAGUUCCCAAGACCAUGGGCAGGCAGAGACACCAUCCUCACCAUCCUGCUAACCACUGAGAAACUAAAAAUGACCAAAAGAGCUGCUUUCUCCAGGCCGAUGUGAAGUCUUUCUCACUUGAAUUUCGACAUCCUGGUGUUGGUGCAGAAGUGCAUAUGGCUGUGUGGAGCCUUAUGGUGCUCUUCAUAAGACCGCAUUGUUAAUGUUAUUGCAAAUGUGAGUUUCUACAUGCCAUCACUGCAACUCUCACCUCAUCAUGAGCCAAAUGAAGGAACAAGGCAAAAUACUAAAAGAAAAAACUGAAAGUGAGCUGGAAUUAAUUUCACUGAAAUAAAUAUUUUUGUAAAAUCAGCUGUACAAGCUAAACUGUUACCACAUCAUCCAGGAAUGAAGAUAUACUUCUCCAAGUUGCAGAUCUUUUCUGUGGACUUUUCUGAACCAAUCAUGACACUACAUCUUCACCACACUUUCUCUUUGAAACUUAGGUGUAACAAAAAGAACUCAUUCUAUAGCUUGGGCCAUAUAUAAAUCUCCUGAGCACUAGGUUAAUACAAAAGUGGAAAUCAAAGUUUCAUAAAUGACUUACCAGAUACACGGACUAAAUUUUAUCUCCAGAUUACCACAUGAUGUUCAAAGUCCCCUUUGAAUUCCAUGGCAGGUACCUCCCUUAAAUGACCAUAAACACCAGAAAUGACCAAGUUCGCUUCUAACUAGCAACUGAACCACAGUCUGCUCCUAAACAGAAUCCUUCAGAUAGUAAAAGUGAGAUUAUCUGCACAGGUACUAAAGGGCUGCACCAGUUUCUAGCACUGGAGAAUCUGUCCUUCACAGAUUCAGAGGGCUCCUGCAGAGCUCUAUGCAGACCAGCAGUGGUGUAUAAUGCAUAGAUUUUAGAAAGCUAUCUGGGAAUUCCCCAAUGUGCCCCUCAACCACGAGGGUUACCCUGUCUUGGCUUAUUUUAGCCAAUUGUGGUCUCCUCUGUGCAGGGAGAGGGCAUCCUUCUAAAUACAUUAGUGACUCACCCCCAGCCAUAACCUACCAUUGUUGAGAAAAUGUGGUUGUUUAUGUCUGGGGAAGCCAAAAAAAGAUUUGCCAAGUGCUUCCUUUGGUAACAUCUUAUAUAUUUUAAUGACACAGCUGCUGCCAAGCCACGGGCUAUAAUGUCUCCAUAAUGAUGUACAGCUAGCUAAGCACAUCCAAAUCACAAGUGUGCCCUUGAACAGUCUAAAGGAGCUGCUUCCUCACUAUCCCUCCUGGAGGCAUACCAGUACUCUGCAUGUGCCCCCACCACUGGUCCAUAUGCAUGUCGCAUUUGAUAAACACAUUCAGGCAAGUGACAGGACCAAGCUCUUCUCAGGAGGAAACCUGGAAAAACCUGGAGGCUCCGGAGCUGUAGUUCUCAGGCAUGUUCUUCCUACUUUUUCUUUUUAUUUUAUUUUAUUUUAAUACAAUUGAAAAUAAUUAAAGGCUUCGAGACAAAAAGGAAAGAGAUUCUGUUUUCCUGGGCAUACACUAUCAUAGCCUUGCAGGAAAAUUAAGUAAAGAAAAUCUGCCACACAUUGGCGUAGAAGGGAGAGCCCCCAGUCCUGUGGCCUGGGAGAGGAAAAUG
Molecule: long non-coding RNA, 1715 nt
Organism: Pezoporus occidentalis (night parrot)
Lineage: Eukaryota; Metazoa; Chordata; Aves; Psittaciformes; Psittacidae
Exons: 3
Source: RefSeq, a predicted model, not a curated record